Molecule: transfer RNA, 75 nt
Filed under: Candidatus Kaiserbacteria bacterium CG10_big_fil_rev_8_21_14_0_10_49_17
Lineage: Bacteria; Candidatus Kaiseribacteriota
Description: tRNA-Arg
Rfam family: tRNA
About the family: Transfer RNA (tRNA) molecules are approximately 80 nucleotides in length.
Source: RNAcentral
GCCUUCGUAGCUCAAUGGAUAGAGCCGCGGUCUUCUAAGCCGCUGAUCCAGGUUCGAAUCCUGGCGAGGGCACAA